GGUCAAGCGAACAAGUGCAUGUGGUGGAUGCCUUGGCGAUCACAGGCGAUGAAGGACGCGGUAGCCUGCGAAAAGCUACGGGGAGCUGGCAAACGAGCUUUGAUCCGUAGAUGUCCGAAUGGGGAAACCCGGCCCUUUUGGGUCAUCCUAGACUGAAUACAUAGGUCUAGUGAGGCGAACGCGGUGAACUGAAACAUCUAAGUAACCGCAGGAAAAGAAAUCAACCGAGAUUCCCAAAGUAGUGGCGAGCGAAAUGGGAAGAGCCUGUACUCUUUAUUUGUAUUGUUAGCCGAACGCUCUGGAAAGUGCGGCCAUAGCAGGUGAUAGCCCUGUAGGCGAAAACAGUAUGAAAGAACUAGGUGUACGACAAGUAGGGCGGGACACGUGAAAUCCUGUCUGAAGAUGGGGGGACCAUCCUCCAAGGCUAAAUACUCGUGAUCGACCGAUAGUGAACCAGUACCGUGAGGGAAAGGCGAAAAGAACCCCGGGAGGGGAGUGAAAUAGAUCCUGAAACCGCAUGCAUACAAACAGUCGGAGCCUCUUCGGGGGUGACGGCGUACCUUUUGUAUAAUGGGUCAGCGACUUACGUUCAGUAGCAAGCUUAACCGAAUAGGGCAGGCGUAGCGAAAGCGAGUCCGAAUAGGGCGUUCAGUUGCUGGGCGUAGACCCGAAACCAGGUGAUCUAUCCAUGGCCAGGAUGAAGGUGCGGUAACACGUACUGGAGGUCCGAACCCACUAACGUUGAAAAGUUAGGGGAUGAGCUGUGGAUAGGGGUGAAAGGCUAAACAAACCUGGAAAUAGCUGGUUCUCUCCGAAAACUAUUUAGGUAGUGCCUCGUGUCUCACCUUCGGGGGUAGAGCACUGUCAUGGUUGGGGGGUCUAUUGCAGAUUACCCCGCCAUAGCAAACUCCGAAUACCGAAGAGUGCAAUCACGGGAGACAGACAUCGGGUGCUAACGUCCGGUGUCAAGAGGGAAACAACCCAGACCGCCAGCUAAGGUCCCCAAAUAUGGCUAAGUGGGAAACGAAGUGGGAAGGCUAAAACAGUCAGGAGGUUGGCUUAGAAGCAGCCACCCUUUAAAGAAAGCGUAAUAGCUCACUGAUCGAGUCGUCCUGCGCGGAAGAUGUAACGGGGCUAAGCCAUAUACCGAAGCUGCGGAUGCGAGCUAGUCUCGCAUGGUAGGAGAGCGUUCCGUAAGCCUGCGAAGGUGCGUUGAAAAGCGUGCUGGAGGUAUCGGAAGUGCGAAUGCUGACAUGAGUAGCGAUAAAGGGGGUGAAAGGCCCCCUCGCCGUAAGCCCAAGGUUUCCUACGCAACGUUCAUCGGCGUAGGGUGAGUCGGCCCCUAAGGCGAGGCAGAAAUGCGUAGCUGAUGGGAAGCAGGUCAAUAUUCCUGCACCAUUGUUAGAUGCGAUGGGGGGACGGAUCGCGGAAGGUUGUCCGGGUGUUGGAAGUCCCGGUCGCUGCAUUGGAGAAGGCGCUUAGGCAAAUCCGGGCGCAGGAUUCAAGGGUGUGGCGCGAGCGACUUAGGUCGCGAAGCAAUUGGAAGUGGUUCCAAGAAAAGCCUCUAAGCUUCAGUCUAACGAUGACCGUACCGCAAACCGACACAGGUGGGCGAGAUGAGUAUUCUAAGGCGCUUGAGAGAACUCGGGAGAAGGAACUCGGCAAAUUGGUACCGUAACUUCGGGAUAAGGUACGCCCUGGUAGCUUGACUGGCCUGCGCCAGAAGGGUGAAGGGGUUGCAAUAAACUGGUGGCUGCGACUGUUUAAUAAAAACACAGCACUCUGCAAACACGAAAGUGGACGUAUAGGGUGUGACGCCUGCCCGGUGCCGGAAGAUUAAAUGAUGGGGUGCAAGCUCUUGAUUGAAGUCCCGGUAAACGGCGGCCGUAACUAUAACGGUCCUAAGGUAGCGAAAUUCCUUGUCGGGUAAGUUCCGACCUGCACGAAUGGCGUAACGAUGGCCACACUGUCUCCUCCCGAGACUCAGCGAAGUUGAAGUGUUUGUGAUGAUGCAAUCUACCCGCGGCUAGACGGAAAGACCCCAUGAACCUUUACUGUAGCUUUGCAUUGGACUUUGAACCGAUCUGUGUAGGAUAGGUGGGAGGCUAUGAAACCGGAACGCUAGUUUCGGUGGAGCCGUCCUUGAAAUACCACCCUGGUUUGUUUGAGGUUCUAACCUUGGCCCGUGAUCCGGGUCGGGGACAGUGCAUGGUAGGCAGUUUGACUGGGGCGGUCUCCUCCCAAAGCGUAACGGAGGAGUACGAAGGUACGCUAGGUACGGUCGGAAAUCGUGCUGAUAGUGCAAUGGCAUAAGCGUGCUUAACUGCGAGACCGACAAGUCGAGCAGGUGCGAAAGCAGGUCAUAGUGAUCCGGUGGUUCUGUAUGGAAGGGCCAUCGCUCAACGGAUAAAAGGUACUCUGGGGAUAACAGGCUGAUACCGCCCAAGAGUUCAUAUCGACGGCGGUGUUUGGCACCUCGAUGUCGGCUCAUCUCAUCCUGGGGCUGUAGCCGGUCCCAAGGGUAUGGCUGUUCGCCAUUUAAAGAGGUACGUGAGCUGGGUUUAAAACGUCGUGAGACAGUUUGGUCCCUAUCUGCCGUGGGCGUUGGAAGUUUGAAGGGGGCUGCUCCUAGUACGAGAGGACCGGAGUGGACGAACCUCUGGUGUACCGGUUGUGACGCCAGUCGCAUCGCCGGGUAGCUAUGUUCGGAAGAGAUAACCGCUGAAAGCAUCUAAGCGGGAAACUCGCCUUAAGAUGAGACUUCCCCGGGGACUUGAUCCCCUUGAAGGGUCGUUCGAGACCAGGACGUUGAUAGGUCGGGUGUGUAAGCGCAGUAAUGCGUUCAGCUAACCGAUACUAAUUGCCCGUACGGCUUGAUCCUAUAACAAGUCUGUCUCGAUAUAGCCGUCGCGCUUCAGCGCCGACGCAUAUCGAGCCUCGAGUGCAAGCCACUCGAUGUACAGCGGUUGACGUGCCGCGUAUGUGUGAGAUACAAC
RNAcentral lists this ribosomal RNA (2996 nucleotides) under Burkholderia pseudomallei. RNAcentral describes it as "bacterial LSU rRNA". It matches the Rfam family "Bacterial large subunit ribosomal RNA". Lineage: Bacteria; Pseudomonadati; Pseudomonadota; Betaproteobacteria; Burkholderiales; Burkholderiaceae. The record is from RNAcentral.